UUCAAUAAUUAAAAACAUAUUUUAACGUCAAAUGAAUAAAAUUCAAGAUUAAUGAUUCAUAAUAUAAGGUUCAUCGCAAAUCCUAGCACGAAAAGAUCUAGCCUAACAUAACGGCAAAAUUAAAUAAAUAAAAGUGGAACGACAUCACCAAUAAUUGACGAAACGUGAUCAACAUCCAAAUUCCUUUUACAAAGAAAUCUGAAAUUAUUCCUUCAGCAGCCUUCUGCUCAUCUCCAAUUCUAUGCGUGAAUAUAUAUAUAUAUAUAUAUAAUCUUCCAAAUCAGCCGCCCACUUUUGUAUUUCCAUUCCAGCUGCUGACCUCUCAAGUUGUUUUGUAUAUGAUAUACACAAUUCAGCACUUCAAUUUCUUUAAUUCCAGCCACCUUUUUGUGCAUAUAAUAUUCCAAUUCCCAUCUCCUUGCUAUGGCUUUCUGUGGGUGUGUCAAUAUAUAAUUCAACUUUUGCAACCCACUUAAUUCACUCCCAGCUGCUGGCCGACAAAAUCAAUUCAACCGCUUAAUCUCUCGGCUUUUCCUGUAUGGAAUUCUACAAUUAAUUCUCAGCCCAAGUUUUAAUUCCCCAAAGCAGCUGGCCGAAUUUUCUCCCCUUUUUCUGCCGUCU
This 621-nucleotide long non-coding RNA is filed under the name Olea europaea (common olive). RNAcentral describes it as "long non-coding RNA (OEUR_LNC014647)". The record is from RNAcentral. Lineage: Eukaryota; Viridiplantae; Streptophyta; Magnoliopsida; Lamiales; Oleaceae.